Molecule: non-coding RNA, 606 nt
Organism: Pelobates cultripes (western spadefoot toad)
Lineage: Eukaryota; Metazoa; Chordata; Amphibia; Anura; Pelobatidae
Source: the annotation of a GenBank genome assembly
GUCCGUGAGGACGUCCAGCGUCACAUAACUGACCAAAAGUCAGUUUGGAUUCCGGAAGCUCCCCCAGUGGCUGUCUGGUAGACAGCCACUGAGGGCAGACUUGGAGCUGCAAUGUAAAGAUCGCAGUUCUCUGGAACUGCAAUGUUUCACAUUGCAGCACUAAGUGCAAUAGGGAGACAGCACCCAGACAACUUCAAUGAACUGAAGUGGUCUGGGUGCCUACAGUGUCACUUUAAGUGACCAACUUGGUUCCUUAAAGGAAUACUCUAAGCACCAGAACUACUGCAGCUUAAAGAGACACUAUAGGCUCCCAGACAGGCACUCAUUAAAAUGGUCUGGGUGCAAUGUUGCCCUUAGUCCUGCAAUGUAAAUCAUUGCAGUUUUUGAGAAUCAGACAGCCACUGGCGGCUCUUCCUGGAUGUUAACAGACUCUAGGUCAUACUCUAAUUGGAUUUCCUAACGCUUUGCAUAAGGACAUCAAGCGUCAGUAAAAUCCCCAUAGAAAUGCAGAGGCAAUACUUUCCUAUAGAGAGGGGCUACUGUGCUCCCCGUGCAUGCGCAUUAGACCGCCCUCUCGGAUGACGUCCGAAGAGGCUGAACGCCGAC